Molecule: ribosomal RNA, 767 nt
Filed under: Paridris mnestros
Lineage: Eukaryota; Metazoa; Arthropoda; Insecta; Hymenoptera; Scelionidae
Description: eukaryotic LSU rRNA
Rfam family: Eukaryotic large subunit ribosomal RNA
Source: RNAcentral
CCCGAAAGAUCGAAUGGGGAGAUUCAUCGUUAGCGGAGUCGGCUUCCUUUUGGUUGCGCGAUGUUUGAGACGGUACUGUUAAACGUAUUUAGUCGAUUUCACGCGUCCAUUGUGGUAUGUCCGGCUACGUCGGCGUGCACUUCUCCCCUGGUAGAACGUCGCGACCCGCUGGGUGUCGGUUUAAGGGCCGAGGUCGUCGACUGUGAUUCGUGCGUUUCACGACGCCACGGUCACAGACGCUCGGUUUCCCGACCGGCUGCCCGGCGGUAUGCUGUCAAGGUAUCGAGCCGCACAAUUUCGAAUGCGUUCAGACACGUCACAAGCUCGACCUAAUUCCGGAUGUGCGGACCUAGCGCCGUACCCGGGGCUGGUUGGCUGUUGGUUGGCGAUGUUCUCGAACCGGCUUAUCCCAAUGUUGUUUCGACAACGAUACCGGUCGGCGACGCUAUUGCUUUGGGUACUUUCAGGACCCGUCUUGAAACACGGACCAAGGAGUCUAACAUGUGCGCGAGUCAUUGGGAAAUUGAAACCUAAAGGCGCAUUGAAAGAGAAGAUCGGCCUUGCGUCGAUCGAGGGAGGAUGAGCGGCGUUUAGAUGUCGCUCCGCACUCCCGGGGCGUCUCGUUGUCAUUGCGACUUGAGGCGCACCCAGAGCGUACACGUUGGGACCCGAAAGAUGGUGAACUAUGCCUGGUCAGGACGAAGUCAGGGGAAACCCUGAUGGAGGUCCGUAGCGAUUCUGACGUGCAAAUCGAUCGUCGGAACUGG